AGGAGUUGGAAUAGGAGCUUGCUCC
Molecule: non-coding RNA, 25 nt
Filed under: Cricetulus griseus (Chinese hamster)
Lineage: Eukaryota; Metazoa; Chordata; Mammalia; Rodentia; Cricetidae
Also listed under: 1 other name
Source: RNAcentral